AUGACGAACACAAAGGGAAAGAGGAGAGACACCUGACCCGUGUUCUCUAGGCCUUUUAGAAGACAUGGAUUGUUCCUUUGGCCAUGUUUAUGCAAAUCUGUAAGAGAGGUGGUAUUAUAGAUAUCAAGGGAAGGGGUACUGUUCAAAAAGGAAUGCCCCACAAGUGUUACCAUGGCAAAACGAAGAGUCUGCAGUGUUGCCCAGCAUGCUGUUGGCAUUGUUGUAACAAACAAGUUAAGGGAAAGAUUCUUGCCAAGAGAAUUAAUGUGCGUAUUGAGCACAUUAAGCACUCUAAGAGCCGAGAUAGCUUCCUGAAACGCCUGAAGGAACAUGAUCAGAAAAAGAAAGAAGCCAAAGAGAAAGGUACCUGGGUUCAACUGAAGCGCCAUCCUGCUCCACCCAGAGACACGCACUGUGUGAGAACCAGUGGGAAGGAGCCUGAGCUGAGGAAGCUAUUCCCUAUGGAUUCAUGGCAUAU
Molecule: long non-coding RNA, 478 nt
Filed under: Homo sapiens (human)
Lineage: Eukaryota; Metazoa; Chordata; Mammalia; Primates; Hominidae
Description: non-protein coding lnc-RGS20-4:1
Source: RNAcentral